RNAcentral lists this ribosomal RNA (535 nucleotides) under Lachnellula subtilissima. Its description in RNAcentral is "eukaryotic LSU rRNA". It matches the Rfam family "Eukaryotic large subunit ribosomal RNA", at positions 80 to 629 of the family's 3401-position model. Lineage: Eukaryota; Fungi; Ascomycota; Leotiomycetes; Helotiales; Lachnaceae. The record is from RNAcentral.
UCAGUAACGGCGAGUGAAGCGGUAACAGCUCAAAUUUGAAAUCUGGCCCUUUUAGGGUCCGAGUUGUAAUUUGUAGAAGAUGCUUUGGGCGUGGCUCCGGUCUAAGUUCCUUGGAACAGGACGUCAUAGAGGGUGAGAAUCCCGUAUGUGACUGGUAGCUUUCGCCCGUGUAAAGCUCUUUCGACGAGUCGAGUUGUUUGGGAAUGCAGCUCAAAAUGGGUGGUAAAUUUCAUCUAAAGCUAAAUAUUGGCCAGAGACCGAUAGCGCACAAGUAGAGUGAUCGAAAGAUGAAAAGCACUUUGGAAAGAGAGUUAAACAGUACGUGAAAUUGUUGAAAGGGAAGCGCUUGCAACCAGACUCGCAGGCCGUCGAUCAUCUCAGGUUCUCCUGGGUGCACUCGGCGGUCUUCGGGCCAGCAUCGGUUUGGGUGGUGGGAUAAAGGCCUUGGGAAUGUAGCUUCUUUCGGGGAGUGUUAUAGCCCUCGGUGCAAUGCCGCCUACCCGGACCGAGGACCGCGCUUCGGCUAGGAUGCUGG